RNAcentral lists this long non-coding RNA (208 nucleotides) under Elaeis guineensis (African oil palm). RNAcentral describes it as "long non-coding RNA (EGUI_LNC061016)". The record is from RNAcentral. Lineage: Eukaryota; Viridiplantae; Streptophyta; Magnoliopsida; Arecales; Arecaceae.
CAUUGGAGGGCAGACACUUGGAUGCCUUAUAGAAAUUAGAAUUAGCACUACAAGUAUGCUUCUUAUCCAAGUUUAGUUUAUUAUACUUUGAUUAUUAUAGUCAAGGGUUUCUAGGCAUCAGGAUUUUCGGUGCAUCAGGUGUUUCGAAUGAAAAAUUUUAAACACCUAGUCCUUUCGCUGUGCCACCGGAUCCUAUCAGUGAUAUCAA